Molecule: long non-coding RNA, 430 nt
Organism: Gymnodraco acuticeps
Lineage: Eukaryota; Metazoa; Chordata; Actinopteri; Perciformes; Bathydraconidae
Exons: 3
Source: RefSeq, a predicted model, not a curated record
UGACCGGCCGCCAUCUUGCUACAGUCAACAGUUACUCUGAUUCGCGCUAUGGUAGCUGUUGUAAGAAGUACCUGACUAUGCCGAACUUUUGUGCAGCCUACGGAUGCUCUAAUCACCGCUGUCUGCAAACAAGAACCCGUGGGAUCACCUUUCACCUGUUUAAGGCAGUGGGAACUCGCCCUAAGAAGAGACGGUUUUGUUUCCUGUGACAGGACACUACUCUGCAGUGAGCACUUCAGGAGUGAGGAAUUUGACCGGACAGGGCAGACUAAUGGCGAAUCGCUACCACUAGGAGCAUAUAUCGCCACCUACUAUGUAUUUAUUAAAUCUUCAUGUUCCAUGAGACGCAGCACUCAGGGUUUCCGCUAGGAUUUUUUCUCGCCGGUCAAAUGUCCGGGCAGAAUUUAUUUUACCGGACACAUUUGAAACU